This 2762-nucleotide unclassified non-coding RNA is filed under the name Hevea brasiliensis (rubber tree). The record is from RNAcentral. Lineage: Eukaryota; Viridiplantae; Streptophyta; Magnoliopsida; Malpighiales; Euphorbiaceae.
GCAUUCAGAAGCCAUUGAGCAUUACACUGCUGCCCUGUCAUGCAAUGUAGAGUCACGUCCUUUUGCAGCUAUUUGUUUCUGCAAUCGAGCUGCUGCUUACAAAGCAUUGGGCCAAAUUAUUGAUGCCAUUGCGGACUGCAGCUUAGCAAUAGCUCUUGAUGGAAAUUAUCUGAAGGUUUUACUCUGAACUGAUUCCUUCUUUUCUCUUUGAUAGUGUUAUUCACCCUUUCUACACUUUGGGGAGUUAAAUCUGAUGUUUCUGAGGGAAUUUAGAAUUACUUGAUGGGUAAACCUGCUACUUUUUCCACAUUUGAAACUAUAAUUUUUUAAAAAGCAACUUAAUUUGGCUCUAGGAUCAGAUUGCUUAAAAUUAGAGAAUGUGAUCCUUAAAAUUAGAGAAUGUGAUACUAUGAAUAAUAUAAUGCAGUUACUCCCAUUUAAAUUUGCAUCUAUUUAUAGUGAUGUACAUGAGCAACCACACUUAUAUCACUUAAAAUGCUAGUAGUGGUGAAUUUUUUAACUAAUGUUCUCAGUUAAAACAUUAGAACUUCUAAAUGGAGGCUUAUAAUAGUUCUCUUAAAGCCUGCUGUCCCACAUGCUGAUGCACCGAAACAACUGAAAGAAUAAAUCUCUGUAGGCUGCUAUCAAGAAGAUAUAUCUUGAAGCUUAUUAAAUUUACUUUGUUAUUCAAGCUGAUCCUUAUGCUUCAAUAGGCAAUUUCUAGAAGAUCAACUUUAUAUGAGAUGAUUAGGGAUUAUGGACAAGCAGCUAGUGAUCUUCAUAGACUUGUAACUCUUCUCACUAAGCAAGUAGAGGAGAAGACCAAGCAGUUUGGAUCAUCUGAUAGAAUAGGAAACUUGGCAAAUGAUCUAAGACAAGCUCGCUUGCGUCUUUCCACAAUUGAAGAAGAAUCCAGAAAGGAGAUUCCUCUGGAUAUGUACCUCAUUUUGUAAGUCUUCUUUAUUUAGCAAGCUACAUAAGUUCUCACCUUUUUUUAUGAUGUCAGGUUUAAUGAAAAAUUUUAGCUAAGAAUCCCAAAUGCAUUAUUCUGUAGGAAAAUUUGCUUUAAGUAACCUCAAUUUCUGUCUGCAUGCAUUUGUGAAUUAAUAUGACACUUGAGAAAAUACAUGAUAGAAGUGUUAUGGCCAUUUUCACUCCAGAAUCAGUUGUGCCCCAUAGUUUCUUUUCCUCCACAUUUUUCUUUGAAGCCAUUUUCUGAGAAAAAGUAUGCUUGUCUUCUGAUCAAUGAGCACUUUGGGGUGAGUGCAUUUAAUUCUUUAUCUGUUUGCAUUAUCUUGGAUGAUUCUUAACAAUGUUCACUGUUAUGUAGAUCAACAUGGUCCAGAAAUGAGGGUGCUGUGUGCCAGUUAAAGUGGAAGAUUGUAUGAAGGGAGGGGUAGACAUUUUUAGAUCAUUGAAAUGCAAUGUGAUGUGGUCAUUUAGGUGUUAUAUUGAAAUAAAUUCCCAAGCAUCACUCAACUCAUAAAAAACCAUUAUACUGGUAUAAUUUGAGAAUAAUUAGUAAUCAGAAAACUUUCAUGAAAAAGUUUAUUCUUGAUUCUUGGGUAAAUGGGUGAGAUUAUCUUGUUUUACUUCGCAAUGAACUGUUUUAGCUUUUUGUUCGAAAUUGAAAGUACUAGAUGUUUUAGAACAAAAGUUCAAAUUGAAAAUUGCUAGGUAUAUAGGGAUUUAUGAUAACCCUCGUCUCCCUGUUUAUUUGUAUAAAUAUAAAAAUGUGUAUGUGAGAUGUAAUGCCUCUACCUUCGCUUUAAAAAUGUCUUGCUGCUAAGUAACUGCUGAUAGUUAAGGUCAAUCAUAGUUGAGGCUUAAAAUCGUUUAAUAUUCAAAUGAUGAUGGCAGGGGAGUUGAACCUUCUGCUUCAGCCUCAGAAAUUAAGAAGGCAUAUCGGAAAGCUGCACUUAGGCACCAUCCUGACAAGGCUGGUCAGUCCUUGGCAAGAAGUGAGAAUGGAGAUGAUGGGCUUUGGAAGGAGAUAGGAGAAGAAAUCCACAAGCAUGCGGACAGACUUUUUAAAAUGAUUGGGGAGGCAUAUGCAGUACUUUCGGAUCCUACUAAGCGUUCACAGUAUGAUCUUGAAGAAGAGCGGAUGAAUGCCAGAAAGAAACAUAAUGGAAGAAGCACAUAUAGCACAUACACAGAUGUACAGAACUAUCAGUUUGAAAGAAGUGGCACUAGGAGACAAUGGCGAGAGGUUUGGAAAUCAUAUGGCAGGUAGCACACCAAUGGACGGGCCAGCCACUUGGUCAAAGAGAUCUUGAUAACAAUCAUGUGUGCUUGCUUGAUAAGAAUCUCCAGAUUUCAGAGUAACUGCUGUGUGUGCUACAGCUACGCAUGGUAAGAAUUUUGAGAUUUCUGAUGAAAAUCAGUUGAUGGGUUUGAUUGAUUAGCUGCAGUCUUUAUGUAACUUCAAUCGAGAGGGCUUGCAGAUGGGAAGUUGCUUCGGCUACUUUGAGAAUUGAUCACUUAACACGCAGCAGGAGGAUGGUUAAAAGCUUUGGUGAAAAUUGUGGUUUUCUCACCCAAAACACCAGAAAGUGCGGGGAAAGAAACUGGCUCCUAUUGGGAUUUUUGACAGACGAUUGUAAACUUGUGGGGAAGUUUGUGAAUUUGAAGACUAGAGCGGAAAAAGGUAAAGAAAAGAAAAGGUAAAUUGCUUCUUGUUUUUUUUAACCAUAUAUGAGAAAGAAAGUUAUUACUAACUAUUUGAGGUGUGUAAAUGUACUGGAAACUUGUACAGAUGA